ACACCGGCGGCCCGAGUGGUGAUCGUGAUUAUUGGGUCUAAAGGGUCCGUAGCCGGUUUGGUCAGUCCUCCGGGAAAUCUGAUGGCUCAACCAUUAGGCUUUCGGGGGAUACUGCCAGGCUUGGAACCGGGAGAGGUAAGAGGUACUACAGGGGUAGGAGUGAAAUCUUGUAAUCCCUGUGAGACCACCUGUGGCGAAGGCGUCUUACCAGAACGGGUUCGACGGUGAGGGACGAAAGCUGGGGGCACGAACCGGAUUAGAUACCCGGGUAGUCCCAGCCGUAAACGAUGCUCGCUAGGUGUCAGGCAUGGCGCGACCGUGUCUGGUGCCGCAGGGAAGCCGUGAAGCGAGCCACCUGGGGAGUACGGCCGCAAGGCUGAA
Molecule: ribosomal RNA, 381 nt
Filed under: uncultured archaeon
Lineage: Archaea
Description: bacterial SSU rRNA
Rfam family: Archaeal small subunit ribosomal RNA
Source: RNAcentral